RNAcentral lists this unclassified non-coding RNA (160 nucleotides) under uncultured Gymnoascus. RNAcentral's name for it is "partial internal transcribed spacer 2". The record is from RNAcentral. Lineage: Eukaryota; Fungi; Ascomycota; Eurotiomycetes; Onygenales; Gymnoascaceae.
CAACCCUCAAGCACGGCUUGUGUGAUGGGCGCCGUCCUCUAGGGGACGCACCCGAAAGGCAAUGGCGGCGUCGCGGUUAUCCGAUCGGCCAAAGUGUAUGGGGCUAUGUCACGCACUCUGAGGCCCGGACCGGCGCCAGUCCGAAUUUUCAAUUUAUCAA